GUUGUUCUGUAGUUCCUAUCAUUGACAUGACACUCAUGAGCAUUGUUGAUUUCUUCAUGAUAUCUUGUAUCAUUCUGUGUUUUAUAAAUAACACCAACACAAAAGUUUUUGAAUGGUAAUCUUUUCCUGUGGUAAUGCAGAGGAAGCAGUGGAAGGCAUAAACAACAUCCAAAGUCCCUGUGACCUGGAAGGGUUUUCCAAUGGUGAAGAAAAGCAGAACGAGAAGGAUAAAAACUUAUCAGAAGGAACUUCUAAAAAUGGUGGAGGCCGUUUUAGACGUUUCCUACAUCAAAUGAAAAGCUGUCUGAGACCUCAGAGAGGAAGGGGGGAGAGUUCGGAGGAGACUUCAAAGCAACUUGAGAGCCUCGUUUUUGUAUAUAUGAUCCUCAAUCAUAGAUACAAAAAAAAAGAUGGAAGAGGAAAGAUGGGAAGGAGAAGCACUGAGGAAGAGAGGAAGCAGUGGAAGGUGAAGACAACGUCCAAAAGUCUGUGCGACCUGGAAGGUACGAACGGGUGCAACUGGGGAGGAGCCAUAAGGAUGAGUCUCAUCAUUUCUCCAUUGUCAAAAGUACUGUUUAACCUUUUUUUUUCUUCACUCCACCAUUGUAGUCCUGUUGGCUCUUCUUAG
Molecule: long non-coding RNA, 628 nt
Filed under: Eptatretus burgeri (inshore hagfish)
Lineage: Eukaryota; Metazoa; Chordata; Myxini; Myxiniformes; Myxinidae
Description: lncRNA (ENSEBUG00000017227.1)
Source: RNAcentral